RNAcentral lists this ribosomal RNA (397 nucleotides) under uncultured bacterium. RNAcentral describes it as "partial 16S ribosomal RNA". It matches the Rfam family "Bacterial small subunit ribosomal RNA", at positions 523 to 918 of the family's 1533-position model. The record is from RNAcentral.
AUACGUAGGGGGCGAGCGUUGUCCGGAAUGAUUGGGCGUAAAGGGCGCGUAGGCGGCCCGGUAAGUCUGGAGUGAAAGUCCUGUUUUUAAGAUGGGAAUUGCUUUGGAUACUGUCGGGCUUGAGUGCAGGAGAGGUAAGUGGAAUUCCCAGUGUAGCGGUGAAAUGCGUAGAGAUUGGGAGGAACACCAGUGGCGAAGGCGACUUUCUGGACUGUAACUGACGCUGAGGCGCGAAAGUGUGGGGAGCAAACAGGAUUAUAUACCCUGGUAGUCCACACUGUAAACGAUGAAUGCUAGGUGUAGGGGGUAUCGACCCCUUCUGUGCCGCAGUCAACACAAUAAGCAUUCCGCCUGGGGAGUACGGCCGCAAGGUUGAAACUCAAAUGAAUUGACGGGG